GCCCCCUCCACCAUGGUGUCAAUGGACUUCCACUGCCACCUGGGAAUAAGAAGGCACCCUUCUCCUCCUCCAUUGUGGUGUCAGAGGAGGCCUGGCAGUGAGUCAGGACCUUCACAUUGCCCAGUGGUAACAAAGCCAACUCCACCACAGCAUCAGUGAAGGCCACAGGGGGAGCUGGAACGCUUGCUACUGCCCAGCAGUAACUAUAAGCACUUGUGGGUGAUUUGAUUUAAUUUACAGACACCAAAAAACUGGAAACAACCCAAAUAUCCUUCAGUUUGUGACUGGAUAAUCAAACCAUGUUCCAUCCAUACAAUGGGAUACUACGCAGCAAUAAAAAGAAACAAACUCCUGAUACAACAAUGUGGAUGUAUCUCAAAGGCAUUAUGGUUACUGAAGAAGAAUCUUCUCCUAAUGCUCACUAGCAACUUUGGACUGAGAAUAGAUAAGAUACUAUUUAUAAUCGUAUUACGAUUUUUUUUAAAGGUUACCUGUCAAAAUGAAUGACCAAACAAGAAAAUGGAAGGAAGGUAGUGGAAGAAAGAAGAAAAAAAAAGAAAAACAAAAUCCCAAGGCAAUGUUUUUCUUACCCACUGUUACCCACAGUAAGCUGUGUAUUUCAGGCUGUGCCAGAGGCACCCACAUGCGUUUAUCUAAAACAAACGUUUCACAAAGCAAAAGUUAUCCUUACAAAGUGAGGUGCACUUUUCUAUUUUCUAUUCUAUUCUAUUCUUUUUGAUUGUGCCUUUGACACACUAGUUAAUUUUAUGAACCACUGAGGGAUGUCACCAGUGGUUUGAAAAAUGCUACCUUAAUGGGAUGCAAAAGCUAAAAAGAGGUAGUUUGGUCUAGAAUACGAUAUGUACUGACUGACCUCAAAAGACUUUGUGAAGUGACAGGUGCAAGAGGUUAACAAUCUGAACAAAGUGAUUCCAUUUCAACAAAGUAUGUGAGUACACAUAUAUACAUAUUUAUUUAAAGAGUUUCAGGAGGAUGCUGGGCUGGACUGUGCUUUCUUUUCCAAUCCAGGUUAGAGUUGGCCAAAAGAGAACUUGUAUAAGAUUUGGAAGUCAGAAGUAAAACAGCAGCUAUUACUCUCAGAAGGUCACCAUAGUCACAUAUGGUGAUGGACACUGGAUCAAAGCUCCCUAUCCAUCUGGUCUUUCUAAUCUUUGGCCCUGAUGUCCAGUAGCAGCCUGGGGCUCCUCAGAAAAUGCUUGGCUGUGGAUCUACAGAGAGGAAGUUAUGCAGAGGGAAUAGCUUCCACUAGCUCCUGCUCCAGAGCCCACAUUGCUGGUUGGACACACACGGCUUCCCAGCUUUUCCUGCAAGCUCCCGGACUUGACUCCCUUCCAGACUUUCACUUCCCCACCUCCAGCAGUUUUGUAAGGUUUAAUUCCUACAGUGAAUGGCUUCUUUCCAUCAUCUUCACCAUGGUUCUUCUUCCCUGACUGAACCCUAAAUGGAAAAGGCUUGCUGCAAAGAAUCAAGAAUCAUCCUUCCCUCAUAUGACUUAAAUAAGACGCGCAGAUGAUCCCCUUGGUUACUUAGGACAAAGACAGACACAGACCCGUCCCCACCCCCCACCAAAUUCCUAUUUGUCAUAAAAGAGCACAGAACUUUGGCCGCAGAGGUUAAGCAAGCAUUAGAAGGUGGAAUGAGUCCUCCUUAACAACCCCUCUGGAUCACUGACCUCGAAGAAAGACAUUUCCUGUUCAACUGGCUGAUCAUGCCACCUGCUCAUCCCACUCCUCACUUCUGG
Molecule: long non-coding RNA, 1762 nt
Organism: Equus caballus (horse)
Lineage: Eukaryota; Metazoa; Chordata; Mammalia; Perissodactyla; Equidae
Source: Ensembl